RNAcentral lists this long non-coding RNA (2659 nucleotides) under Gossypium raimondii (Peruvian cotton). Its description in RNAcentral is "long non-coding RNA (GRAI_LNC008167)". Lineage: Eukaryota; Viridiplantae; Streptophyta; Magnoliopsida; Malvales; Malvaceae. The record is from RNAcentral.
AAUUUUUAGACAUCAGAUUUUAUUUGUAUGUUACACGAGUACAUAUGAUUUCCAGUAAAUUUGAUUAGAUGUUAGAGUAUUCCACUAUUAUUAUAAUUGUUCUUCCAGUAUGCAAAACCAUAUGAACGACCUUGUUCAGCAUUUUGUAUGUUAGCUUGGCACCUGUUCUAUCUUCCACAGUAUUCAGCUAUUAACCUAAAAAAAUAAAUUUACAAAAAUGAUCCUGUUCGAAAAAUUAUGACGGAAAUAACCUGAAAUCUACAGUGCCAAGCGAUGCCGACAUCUCACCUCCGGUACCACCCUCCAUCAUUCCCUAAUCAUGUCUUAAUGAUUGUCCCGUCUAAUAAAAAAAAGAUACUUUUUUUUUGUCGGCACUAUAAUGGUCGGCACUCAUAUGUAUUUUUUGAAAUACCUUCAAAAAAUAUGGAUAUUCUACGAUUUAAAAAGAAAAAGAAAUAAAAUAAUAUUUUAAUAGGUACCAGCAUUGGUUGAGAACUUUAAAAAAUAAAUUUUUUUUUUUUACUUUUUUGGUGCCAAUGUUGAAGUUGCCUGCAUUGGUUAAAAAAAAAUGGAUUGAGGAGGAAGAGAUCUGCACUCCGAUUAUGCCAGUUGGUCCAAUGGACGUCGGCAGUAGUUGACUGCAUAGUGGAGUGAAGGCGGUGGCUAGAAGAGAAGCAAAGAAUGAAAAAUGAAAAAAAAAAUAAAACUCAUCUGUUACCAUUAUUAAAGAGAAAGAGGAUAUGAGAUAAAAGAGAAAAGUAUUACAAUUACCAAAUAAAUAACAAGGUUUAACAUUAAUGGUCCACCAAACAAAUUUUGAAAUAAUAAUAAUAAUUGAAUUAUUAAUUUUUACCUUUUUUUUAGAAUUAACCAGAGUUAAAUAAGCUUUUCAUUUACCACUUAAAAAAGAUAUAAAAUUUUUAUUUGAAUAAAUUAAAACUCAUGGUUCAUAUUUAACAUUCAAUUAAAUAUUUCUAAAAAGAAUCAUUCAAUACAUUUUAAACCCCUUAGCGUUUAAAGUCUAAUUCCAAAUUUCAUUAUUUUAGUUAAUAUCUCUUGCAUUUCGAAUGAAGCAAGAGUUUUUUUGUUAAGAAUGAUUCUUUUCAAAAGUUUUGGUGCUUGCGGGUAUGAUAUUAUUAGUUUUCAUUUUUAAUUAUUUUGUUUUUUUCUGAUUAAUUUCAUAAUAAGGCUCCAAUGUUAUUUCAUUGGUAUUUUCUCUUUUAUUCAACUUUCAUCUCAUCUCCUCCAUAAUUGUUACACAUGGGUUUUGGUUUUUUAUUUUUCAUUCUUUGCUUCUCUUCUUCCUUCUCCAUUUGCUCUAAGCCACCUCUUUCGCUCCACUCUGCAAUCAGCUAUCGCCAACGCCUUUCGGCCCAAUUGAUACAAUUGGAGUGCAGCUUUAUUCCUCCUCAAUCUUUUUUUUGAACCGGUGUCGGCCACUUUAACACCAGCACCAAAAAGUAAAAAAAAUUAUUUUUUUUAAGUUUUGAACCGAUGCCGGCCACUUCAACGCUGGCACCUAUUAAAAUAUUGUUUUUUUAUUUUUUAAUUGUAGAAUACCCAUAUUUUUGAAGGUAUUUCAAAAAAAUACAUCUAGGUGUCGGCCAUUAUAGUGCCUGCACAAAAAAAUAUAAAUUUUUAUAGGACGGGACAAUCAUUAAGGCAUGAUUAGGGAAUGAUGGAAGGUGGUGUCGGUGGUGAGAUUGUUGGCACUGCCCAACACUAUAGAUUUUAAGUUAUUUUCGUCAUAGUUUUUCAAACAGGGUCAUUUUUGUAAGUAUUUAUUUUUUGAGAUUAGUUGGGUAAAAUAGCCUAAAUCAGGCCUUGUUCUAUAUAUUGAAUGAUCAUAGUAUAUUAAUAGUUGAAUACUUAAACAUAUGAAUGACCUCGAGAAAUGGCUAUCUAUAGAUAGCCUUAAACAUAUAAAAAUAGUAUAUUGCAUGCAGUUAGUGAAUAAAGAACAAAUUGUUGAGGGAAGAGGACUGGUAUCUCUUUAAAUGCCAUAGCACAGAGAAUGAGCACAUCAAGAAACAAUACUAUGGAACUAACUUUUCAAGAAUCAUGUUUAAAUCUAAGCCUCGCACAACACACAAUUAUACCACACUAGAUUUAACCCUUUUUUUUUAAGUUCACAAGCAUAACAAUACAAAUAUACGUUAAAAUACAAAUACGUAACAAUCACAAAGUUUAGAAUCAAACUAUUACAGUUCAGCACAAACUAAAAACUGAAAUAAUUUAAAUUAAAAUUGAGUAACUAAACCAAAACCUACAACAACACAUAGUGAGAUUUAGAUACCCACAUAUAUAAUUCAGAUACCUAAUUUCAUAAUUUCAAAUAAAGAAAGAGGAAGGGAAGAAUGAAAUUUUUGUCAUAAAGAAGAAGAAGAUACCUUUAAUCCUAAAGAGUAAUAGUAGAAAAGUUCAUUUCCAAUGAAAACAAAAAGAAGAGACCUUUGACAAAAAAAACACCUGAAAAAUCCAAGGUGAGUGCCGAACAAACGUCGAACAAUGAGGGUGACCUGGUGGACGCCAGACAGUGUGACUAGUAGUAGGGAUUUGGGGAGAUUUUAGAUUAGGGAUUUCCAAUUUUGAGGGAUAAGAUUAGAGAUUUAGGGUUAAGGAUUUCUAAUUUUUUGAUUUUUUGUGUGUUAUUUUUAGA